Oryctolagus cuniculus (rabbit) is the source of this 383-nucleotide non-coding RNA. The record is from RefSeq and is a predicted model, not a curated record. Lineage: Eukaryota; Metazoa; Chordata; Mammalia; Lagomorpha; Leporidae.
UGGAAGGCUGGAACGCGCGGUUGUGUCAAAUUGGGAAAUACGGUCUAACCCAGCGCUCGGCACGUUUCCCAGAGGGAACCGGAAACCAACUGCCCUCGGGGAUUCUGGGAAAUCUGCUUCAGGCCGCGACUUCCGUUCUCGGGGAUUCUGGGAAGUGUAGUUCCGAGGUCCUGCGUCGCCCGGAGCACUUCCGCUGUGCAGGUUGAGAUCGCGGCCUUGGUUCCGUUCAGGGCGGCGUAGAGGUUGGUGUGCCUGGACCAGCGUCACAGCCGGCGGAGCGGUGGCUUCCUCACAGAAUCAGGAGUCGUAUGUCCAGAACGUGUGUGUGGCUCGGCGGCUCAUUCACUGCCAGGAACCGUGGGGGUGGGGAGUGGUGUCUGGAU